Molecule: long non-coding RNA, 609 nt
Organism: Orcinus orca (killer whale)
Lineage: Eukaryota; Metazoa; Chordata; Mammalia; Artiodactyla; Delphinidae
Exons: 3
Source: RefSeq, a predicted model, not a curated record
CAAAGCUGAGCGCGAAAGGCGACGCCCACUGACCGCGGUGGGCGCGUGCUCCCGGCAGGCUGUGCGCGACCGCGAACCUUCCACCCGCGCCUGAGGAGCUCACUGCAGCUGAGAGAGCGGGAGGCCGCCUCGCGAGUCCCAAACAGGUUUCUAAAACAACGAACUUAAUGAGAGAACAGCCACCACAGACCUGCGCUCUGUCAGCAAGAAGCCUGAGUUCUCGGAGGUGCAGUUAAUGUCUCAGGGUCCACGAUGCUCACAAAUGCUAGAAAUCUAAAGUCAGGAAGGAGCUCGGCGACGCUCGCCCGGGUCUCCAGCAGCGAGCGGCCGACGCUCCUGCCGGAAGCAGCCGGGACACGGCGACCGCGCGUGUUCUCCAGGCCUCCCCGCCCUCCUCCCCCCUCCUCCCAACCCGCAGGACAAAGACUGCGGGGUCGUUUAAGUCACUCAGGGAGUAGCGGCCUCGCGACACGGGAUCCCAACAACAAUAAGCGUGUGCAGGGGUCGCCUCCCUUGACCGGGGCGACCAGCGGCGGGGACCCGAGCUGAGGAUCGAGGCCCCAGUCCCUUACCCCGAGUCAGCUUGGCUCGCCCCACGUGCCCGCCCGC